ACACUCCUACGGGAGGCAGCAGUGGGGAAUAUUGCACAAUGGGCGCAAGCCUGAUGCAGCCAUGCCGCGUGUGUGAAGAAGGCCUUCGGGUUGUAAAGCACUUUCAGCGGGGAGGAAGGCAAUGCGGUUAAUAACCGUGUUGAUUGACGUUACCCGCAGAAGAAGCACCGGCUAACUCCGUGCCAGCAGCCGCGGUAAUACGGAGGGUGCAAGCGUUAAUCGGAAUUACUGGGCGUAAAGCGCACGCAGGCGGUCUGUCAAGUCGGAUGUGAAAUCCCCGGGCUCAACCUGGGAACUGCAUUCGAAACUGGCAGGCUUGAGUCUUGUAGAGGGGGGUAGAAUUCCAGGUGUAGCGGUGAAAUGCGUAGAGAUCUGGAGGAAUACCGGUGGCGAAGGCGGCCCCCUGGACAAAGACUGACGCUCAGGUGCGAAAGCGUGGGGAGCAAACAGGAUUAGAAACCCGAGUAGUCCCA
This 473-nucleotide ribosomal RNA is filed under the name uncultured organism. Its description in RNAcentral is "partial 16S ribosomal RNA". It matches the Rfam family "Bacterial small subunit ribosomal RNA", at positions 333 to 797 of the family's 1533-position model. The record is from RNAcentral.